RNAcentral lists this microRNA precursor (78 nucleotides) under Schistosoma haematobium. Its description in RNAcentral is "mir-3492 microRNA precursor family". It matches the Rfam family "mir-3492 microRNA precursor family". The record is from Rfam by way of RNAcentral. Lineage: Eukaryota; Metazoa; Platyhelminthes; Trematoda; Strigeidida; Schistosomatidae. RNAcentral also lists the same sequence under 1 other name.
AACUUUCUGAAUUCGUACGGAGACUUCGUUAGACAGGAAUCCAUCAGGGCUAACGAAACUUCCAAGAUAAGUGAAGUG